GCUAUCAAAUUUUUACUUAUUUAAAUUUACAAUCGGAGGAAACAAAUUUUCGUUGCUCGAUUACGCCAUCUGAUGUCGAUUAAAGGAAUUAUACAUUAUUUUCGUCCUUUGCACGUGUGAUAUAAUCGUCAUGCCAAGAAUUUCAAAAUAUCCAUUUGCUCUUGUUUUAUUGCAAAGCACUGCCAGUAAGCAUUCGUUAACUAUGAGACGACGAGUGCGAACUCCCAGACUAGAGUUUGUUCGAUAUGAUCCGCACGGUAAGUGAACAUGUUAAAUUUAUAUUUAAUUAGUGUGUCGUCAUAUUAUUUUAAAAUUAAUUUUUUAAUACAUUUUACAAUACUAAUAAAAAAUUUAUGUUUUUAUCUAUUGAAUUGAUCUGAAAAUCUGUACUCAUAAUUUGUUGUAAUCUCAAAAUUCAAUUUUGACUGACUUUCAACAUCAUGUAUUGUGACCGAUAUAUACAUGUAUGCAAUAACUUCAUUCAUUAUUAUGAUACUUAAGGUUAUCUUAAGUCAAAUUCUAUAAUUUACCUUAAAAGUGUGUCAGUCUACCAGUGUGGCCACAGUGGAUUAAAUUACUGAACACUGGUAGUUGGUUUGCUACAUGGAGUUUUCCAGAUUUUCUUCAUGUUAGUAACACCUAAAUAGGGACCAGUUUCUCAUAAAAGUCCUCCCCCUUGACAGAUUGUCCAUAUAUUACGUUGCCAUAAUCAAAUGAAAUCA
Long non-coding RNA from Centruroides sculpturatus (bark scorpion), 722 nucleotides. RefSeq lists it as uncharacterized. NCBI's taxonomy places the organism in Eukaryota, Metazoa, Arthropoda, Arachnida, Scorpiones, Buthidae. The record is from RefSeq and is a predicted model, not a curated record. The transcript is spliced from 3 exons.